RNAcentral lists this ribosomal RNA (377 nucleotides) under uncultured bacterium. Its description in RNAcentral is "partial 16S ribosomal RNA". It matches the Rfam family "Bacterial small subunit ribosomal RNA", at positions 338 to 729 of the family's 1533-position model. The record is from RNAcentral.
CCUACGGGAGACAGCAGUGGGGAAUAUUGGGCAAUGGACCCAAGCCUGACCCAGCAACGCCGCGUGAAGGAAGAAGGCCCUCGGGUUGUAAACUUCUUUUAACAGGGACGAAGAAAGUGACGGUACCUGUUGAAUAAGCCACUGCUAACUACGUGCCAGCAGCCGCGGUAAUACGUAGGUGGCAAGCGUUAUCCGGAUUUACUGGGUGUACAGGGCGUGUAGGCGGGAGAGCAAGUCAGACGUGAAAUUCCAGGGCUCAACCCCGGAACUGCGUUUGAAACUGUUCGUCUUGAGUGAUGGUGAGGCAGGCGGAAUUCCGUGUGUAGCGGUGAAAUGCGUAGAUAUACGGCGGAACACCAGUGGCGAAGGCGGCCUGC